UCUAUUUGUGUGCAGCGAGUUUUAAUCUUAAAAAAGGAAGUUUAAUUUCAUAACAAGCUUUAAACACGAUUGUGUGCUGCGUUUGAAGGUGGACUUCCGCACAGCAUUGACCGAUGCGGGAUAUUGGGCUUUGAUGGAAACCCCCAGUUUGUCAGUAAAGCUAACUGUGCAACUUCGCAGUAUUCUUUUUGUGAAGUUGAUAAUUACACCGGAAGUGAACUUUCAGUGUGCGGAUCAACUAAUGUAACAAAUCAGUCAUUCACGAAUGCCCCAAUCGUUUGCUUCAUACAAGCAAGAAACACUUACCACAACAAUCAUGCCAAUCAACGAGAAUACGUCAACAGAAUCAAUACUUUCUAAUCAUUCUUCAAGCUCAUCAGUGAGCAGAUCAACUAUUGUAACAACGCAGCCUUCUUCAAAUAUCACAUUGUUUGGUUCACAAAACACAGAAAGAUUAACAGCACAAAUCAUGCCAAUCAAUGAGAAUACAUCGACAGAAUCUAUAGUUCGUAGCCAUGCUCAAAGUUCAUCAGGCUCCGCUCUUGGCAUCAGUCUAGGUGUGAGCUUCAGCAUUGUGGUCAUCGUAAUAAUUACCACCUUCGGAGUCUGCGUUUAUAGAAGAAGGUAAAUACAUAACCUUUGCGAAACU
Long non-coding RNA from Dreissena polymorpha, 649 nucleotides. RefSeq lists it as uncharacterized. The record is from RefSeq and is a predicted model, not a curated record. NCBI's taxonomy places the organism in Eukaryota, Metazoa, Mollusca, Bivalvia, Myida, Dreissenidae. The transcript is spliced from 5 exons.